CCACAUUCAGAAAUCUCUCAUCGUUUUCAAAAUUUUUACUAACUUGAAAUCCUUGCAAUAAAUUGCAUAAGUGAACUGGACUUUCAGUAUCCAAUACUUAGGUAGAAGUGUGACAUAUAGAAAAAUUCAAGAUGUUAUCAUAUAAGCACCUUGACCAGCAACUAAUUGCUCAUUUCUCUUUAUUCUAUUUGGGUCAUAGUCUGCUUGACUCGAUUUAGCCCUAAACUUUUUAGUUAGAUUGGGCUUAAGACAAAUGUUCA
Molecule: long non-coding RNA, 260 nt
Filed under: Elaeis guineensis (African oil palm)
Lineage: Eukaryota; Viridiplantae; Streptophyta; Magnoliopsida; Arecales; Arecaceae
Description: long non-coding RNA (EGUI_LNC045026)
Source: RNAcentral